AGCAGUAGCCACGGUAACACGAAGGGGGCUAGCGUUGCUCGGAAUGACUGGCGUAAAGGGCGCGUAGGCGGUUGACACAGUUAGAUGUGAAAUUCCCGGGCUUAACCUGGGGACUGCAUUUGAUACUGGCAGGCUUGAGUGUGGAAGAGGGUCGUGGAAUUCCCAGUGUAGAGGUGAAAUUCGUAGAUAUUGGGAAGAACACCGGUGGCGAAGGCGGCGACCUGGUCCAUAACUGACGCUGAGGCGCGAAAGCGUGGGGAGCAAACAGGAUUAGAUACCCCUGUAGUCCCUGUCUCUUAUACA
RNAcentral lists this ribosomal RNA (303 nucleotides) under uncultured bacterium. RNAcentral describes it as "partial 16S ribosomal RNA". It matches the Rfam family "Bacterial small subunit ribosomal RNA", at positions 507 to 808 of the family's 1533-position model. The record is from RNAcentral.